RNAcentral lists this unclassified non-coding RNA (351 nucleotides) under soil metagenome. RNAcentral describes it as "partial contains 5.8S ribosomal RNA, internal transcribed spacer 2, and large subunit ribosomal RNA". The stretch from base 1 to 120 matches the Rfam family "5.8S ribosomal RNA", at positions 35 to 154 of the family's 154-position model. The record is from RNAcentral.
GAUGAAGAACGUAGCGAAAUGCGAUAAGUAAUGUGAAUUGCAGAAUUCAGUGAAUCAUCGAAUCUUUGAACGCACAUUGCGACCGCGAGUAUUCUCGCGGGCAUGCCUGUCCGAGCGUCAUUUCAACCCUCAGGGCCCGCCUGCUUGCAGGCGCGGCGCUGGUGUUGGGGAUCGGCUACCCUGCCGUCCCCCAAAUACAGUGGCGGUCUCGCUGCAGCCUCCCCUGCGUAGUAGCAACACUCGCAUGCGGAGCGCGGCGCGGCCACGCCGUAAAACCCCCGACUUUCUGAACGUUGACCUCGGAUCAGGUAGGAAUACCCGCUGAACUUAAGCAUAUCAAUAAGCGGAGGA